This is a long non-coding RNA of Tachysurus fulvidraco (yellow catfish), 393 nucleotides long. RefSeq lists it as uncharacterized. NCBI's taxonomy places the organism in Eukaryota, Metazoa, Chordata, Actinopteri, Siluriformes, Bagridae. The record is from RefSeq and is a predicted model, not a curated record. The transcript has 2 exons.
CUGUUUUGUAAUAGAGUGUAAAAGACAGCUGUGCCUGAAUCCACUGUUUGUCACGGAGCUAAAGGCAGUGAAUUCCGCUAAAAUGGUCAGGUUUUGGUAGAGAGUUGGAAACAUCGUGCUGAGAUCCUUUCCACGGAGUGUUACAGAUCUACAUGUUCCAGACAAUUGCCAGAGAUGUAUAGAUUCCCAGUCCAGGUGGCUGGGUGGCGAGCCAACCGUGUUUGUGAUUCUGAAUUAAGACGAGUCUCCAAGAUCAUCUCUAUCUACUUGGUGGUAGGAUGAACACUAACACAAACUAAAAAAAAAAGGGCCCCAACGAUAGAAACUGAACUCUUGUCAACAAGAGCAAGUGGAACCAAGAAUAAACUGAGCUCAAAUAAACGGAAAAAAGGG